GCUUAUGGUAGACAGCCUCUUUUUUCAUCGAAGUUCUCCACUUUCUCGCUCCAAAGGCUCAUCGCAAUCAAAAUCGACCGAUCAGUGCUAGACUUCUCUCUUCACACAGAUCUGUUGCCUCUUACCCUUGCUUUCUUAAUGCAUUUAAUAAUAUAACUGACUGUUCUCAUCAAAUCUGCUUUCGGAGAAUUGAGGAUUAGAAAGUAAAGGCGCCAGAGCACUUUCUGGAAAAGCUUUCUGACAAAAAGGAGAAGGGAAGCUGCUAUUGGGUGAAGGAAAAUUUUCUGCAUGACCUUUUGACAUUUUCUGCAAUGUCGGGGUUAUUUAAUUCAUCACUCAAUGGAUCGACAUCAAAUCUUCCUGAUGGCACUGGGCGCCCAUUAACUUCAUCAUUCUCUGGUCAAUCUGGGGCUGCCUCUCCUGUUUUUCAUCAUACUGGAAAUAUUCAGGGACUGCAUAAUGUUCACGGGAGUUUUAAUGUCCCUAACAUGUCAGGCUCACUUGGAUCUCGAAAUACAAUAAUGAAUAAUGUCCCUUCUAAUGGGCUGCAACAAGCUGCAGGUAACCUUUCCAGUGGAAGAUUUGCAUCAAAUAAUCUUCCAGGUGCUCUUUCUCAGAUAUCUCAUGGCAAUACACAUGGUCAUUCAGGGAUGGUGAAUAGAGCGGGUAUGAGUGUCAUCGGAAACCAAGGGUAUAGUGGUAGCACAAAUGGUGUUGCUGGUUCCAUCCCUGGGAUUCUUGCAACAUCUUCUGCCAUUGGUAAUCGGACAGCAGUACCAGGUUUAGGCGUCUCUCCGAUUAUGGGGAAUGCUGGUCCACGGAUUACAAGCUCUGUGGGGAACAUAGUAGGCGGCGGAAACAUCGGCAGAAGCAUUAGUUCUGGUGGAGGAUUGUCCAUGCCUGGUCUAUCUUCUCGGCUAAACUUAACUGCCAACAGUAGUUCUGGAAAUAUGAAUUUGCAAGGACAAAACAGGCUUGUGGGCAGUGUGCUUCAACAAGCUUCUCCACAGGUAAUGUCUAUGUUAGGCAAUUCCUACCCUUCAGCCGGUGGUCCUCUGUCACAAAAUCAUGUACAAGCAGUGAAUAACCUUAAUAUGGGGAUGUUCAGUGAUAUGAAUGCCAAUGAUGGUGGUUCUCCUUUUGACAUCAAUGAUUUCCCUCAACUGAGCAGUCGUCCCAGUUCUGCUGGAGGUCCUCAGGGACAAUUAGGUUCAUUGCGGAAACAAGGUCUUAGCCCAAUCGUUCAGCAAAAUCAAGAAUUCAGUAUUCAAAAUGAAGAUUUUCCGGCCUUACCUGGAUUUAAAGGUGGGAAUGGUGACUAUUCUAUGGACUUGCACCAAAAGGAGCAACUUCACGACAGUUCUGUUUCCAUGAUGCAGCCUCAACACUUUUCUAUGGGAAGGUCUACUGGUUUCAAUUUGGGGGGAACAUACUCAUCUCAUCGGCCACAACAGCAACAACAACAUGCCCCAUCAGUGAGUAGCGGCAUUGCCCCUUUCUCUACUGUAAACAACCAUGAUCUACUUCAUUUGCACGGUUCAGACAUGUUUCCCUCAUCUCAUUCAACAUAUCAUGCACAGACCAGUGGGCCCCCAGGCAUGGGACUACGACCCCUGAGUUCUCCGAAUUCGGUUUCUGGUAUCGGGUCGUACGACCAGCUUAUACAGCAAUAUCAGCAGCAUCAGAACCAGUCCCAAUUUCGCCUGCAGCAAAUGUCUGCCGUUGGUCAGCCUUAUAGGGAUCAAGCAGUGAAGCCCAUGCAGGGUGGACAAAGCACUUCUGACCCUUUUGGUUUGCUUGGUUUGUUGAGUGUGAUAAGAAUGAGUGACCCUGAUCUGACUUCUCUUGCUCUUGGAAUUGACCUAACUACCCUUGGAUUGAACUUGAAUUCUUCUGAAAAUCUUCACAAAACAUUUGGUUCCCCAUGGUCUGAUGAGCCUACUAAAGGAGAUCCAGAGUUUACCGUGCCACAAUGUUAUUAUGCUAAACAACCGCCGCCUCUAAAUCAAGCUUGCUUCUUAAAGUUUCAGUUAGAAACUUUGUUUUAUAUCUUCUACAGUAUGCCAAAGGAUGAAGCCCAAUUAUAUGCUGCGAAUGAAUUGUAUAAUAGAGGUUGGUUUUACCAUAGAGAGCAUCGUUUGUGGUUUAUGAGGAAUGCUAACAUGGAGCCAAUUGUAAAGAUGAAUGCAUAUGAGAGAGGUUCCUAUAUUUGUUUUGAUCCAAAUGCAUGGGAGACAGUCCGCAAGGAUAAUUUUGUUCUCCACUAUGAUAUGGUGGAAAAGAAACCAGCCCUAUCUCAACAUUGACAAAAUAUGCUGUUUAAAUGUACAUCUACCGGUUCAACUGAUUUGUUAGGAGAGAAGGAUGUAAAUGAGAGUAUUUGAAGAAAUUGUAGGACAUGCUAUGUAGUUCUGGACCUGGGGGUUGUGUUUCAUUGUAAUACCAAACUAAUCCUGCAUUCAUGUUCUGGCCUUAGUUUCUUCAUGUCAUGGGUAAAAUUUGGGAUACUACCAAGGUUGGCCACUGUCAAAAUUGCCUUUGAUGGAUUAUACGAUUUGAACAUGUUUGAAUUUGCUGAUUUCUGUUCACAUGAAGCUGUAAAUGAAGGCCUUGUGCAGAUCUGAUAAUCACGUGAUAAAUUAAAUAGUUGAGAGAUUUUGAUUUCGUUAAACUGAAAACUUGUAUGAAAAUGUAUGUCCUGUUCAGUUGAACACACACUCUUUUAAUGUCUUUCUAGUUUUUAUAUGCUGCCCUGCCUUUUGCCAGCUUCUAGUAGAUUUUUCUGUUCGUUAACCUAUUUCUGUAAAUUAUGUCGUUUCAUGCUGUGUUACGAUGUCUCAUUAGUUUUGAUUAAAAGCAUGUUUGGGAAGUA
This is an RNA transcript of Olea europaea var. sylvestris, 2872 nucleotides long. It is a transcript of the gene named probable NOT transcription complex subunit VIP2, with no coding region annotated. The record is from RefSeq and is a predicted model, not a curated record. The transcript is spliced from 16 exons. NCBI's taxonomy places the organism in Eukaryota, Viridiplantae, Streptophyta, Magnoliopsida, Lamiales, Oleaceae.